GACGAACGCUGGCGGCGUGCCUAAUACAUGCAAGUCGAGCGGACAAAGAGGAGCUUGCUCCUCGAUGUUAGCGGCGGACGGGUGAGUAACACGUGGGCAACCUGCCUGUAAGACUGGGAUAACUUCGGGAAACCGGAGCUAAUACCGGAUAAUGCUUUUGAACUCAUGUUCGAAAGCUGAAAGAUGGUUUCGGCUAUCACUUACAGAUGGGCCCGCGGCGCAUUAGCUAGUUGGUGAGGUAACGGCUCACCAAGGCAACGAUACGUAGCCGACCUGAGAGGGUGAUCGGCCACACUGGGACUGUGACACGGCCCAGACUCCUACGGGAGGCAGCAGUAGGGAAUCUUCUGCAAUGGACGAAAGUCUGACGGGGCAACGCCGCGUGAGUGAUGAAGGUUGUCGGAUCGGAAAACUCUGUUGUUAGGGAAGAACAAGUACCGGAGUAACUGCCGGUACCUUGACGGUACCUAACCAGAAAGCCACGGCUAACUACGUGC
This 497-nucleotide ribosomal RNA is filed under the name uncultured bacterium. Its description in RNAcentral is "partial 16S ribosomal RNA". It matches the Rfam family "Bacterial small subunit ribosomal RNA", at positions 28 to 508 of the family's 1533-position model. The record is from RNAcentral.